CCAAAUCUUUCCUUCCUACUCCCUAUUCUCUUUUCUUAUUUAUCCAAUUUCAUCUAUUUAAGGCCAUUUCUCUUCUGCCCUUGUCUGGAUGUGGUUUUAGUUUCUAUCACCUGUGUUUAGAAACCUGGGAGAUCCAGGUGGCUCAGUUUUCAGGCUGACAAUGCUUAGUCUAUAUUUUAAUUGCAGUUAUAAUUAAUUAUGACUGUGACAGUGGCAGGUGUGACAUUCAGGAGAAAAUGAAUAGAAAUGAUUUAACAAACAUAUUUCAACACCCAUGAGAGGUAUUUCCAUUACUUAAUUAGACAGAAAGACUCUUACUCGGAAGUUUAAGGGAAGCAGGCACAGAACAAUGCAUUGUGAAACUGGCGUGCUUGUUUCAGGUUCUUUAUGAGAAUUUCUCCUCUGUUUGCAUGCCCUUCCACCAAGGCACAAAGCGUGAGCCCUCUUUUGCAAGUGAGGUUAACGAGCCUUGGUGAGAUUAAGUGAUCUGAUUCAGGUGGGUCUGCAAGGAGGCAGGGCCGGGUGUGGACCGAGGCUUCUCUGCUGGUUCAGCAGCCACUCCACAGGCCCGUGCAGUCUGGUUCCUUUGCUUUUGGUGUCAUAAGAUCUAAUGAACCAGACAAUCCAGACCUGAAGAUUAACAUCUUCCUGUGGAAAGGAGACCUUCCUUAUUGCCAAUAACCAGGCCAAGAUAUUUCUUUAAGAAACAUCAGCUUGAAGAGAAAGAUCAUCCACCUCACCUCCGUUUAGCAGGGUGUCUGACAGGAGUAAAGAUGGGUCCCAGCACGCCCUGUGCUGCGUCUCUGUGAUCCCCCAAAUGUGCUGGUGGUUUCGCACAGGAUUCUGUGAAUUCUCCUUGGGUGCUGGAGAGAGGAGCAGGUCCCACUGGUCUACCCCUCGCAAAGUGGCUGAAUCACAAAUGUGGACACGGGGACGGAGAGAAGACGAUCUGGCUCUCAGAGACAUCCAACUCAAGUGACAUUUGAUACAAUUAAUUCAUAGGCAGUUGGGGUGCAAGGAUGAAUCGAAGGCAGAGACGACCUUCCAGAACUCUCUCUUCUCCUUCCAAAGUCUGGUUUCCAUUCUCCUGGACCAGGUGCUUGUCUCUGUUAAAAUAAGACUGUAGACUAGCCCACCAUUCAGUCUUGUAGUU
Molecule: long non-coding RNA, 1153 nt
Filed under: Equus caballus (horse)
Lineage: Eukaryota; Metazoa; Chordata; Mammalia; Perissodactyla; Equidae
Description: lncRNA (ENSECAG00000059637.1)
Source: RNAcentral